RNAcentral lists this ribosomal RNA (719 nucleotides) under uncultured bacterium. RNAcentral's name for it is "bacterial SSU rRNA". It matches the Rfam family "Bacterial small subunit ribosomal RNA", at positions 141 to 851 of the family's 1533-position model. The record is from RNAcentral.
GGAUAAUUUCUGGAAACGGAAACUAAAACCGGAUAGGUAAUAGAGAAGCAUUUCUGUAUUAUUAAAGAAGCCUCAAAGCUUUGAACAUGGAUGGACCUGCGGUGCAUUAGCUAGUUGGUAAGGUAACGGCCUACCAAGGCGACGAUGCAUAGCCGACCUGAGAGGGCGAACGGCCACAUUGGGACUGAGACACGGCCCAAACUCCUACGGGAGGCAGCAGUAGGGAAUUUUCGUCAAUGGGGGGAACCCUGAACGAGCAAUGCCGCGUGAGUGAAGACGGUCUUCGGAUUGUAAAGCUCUGUUGUGAGAGAAAAAGGAUAUAUAUAGGAAAUGAUAUGUAUUUGAUGGUAUCUCACCAGAAAGUCACGGCUAACUACGUGCCAGCAGCCGCGGUAAUACGUAGGUGGCGAGCGUUAUCCGGAAUGAUUGGGCGUAAAGGGUACGUAGGCGGCAUGAUAAGUCUGGAGUGAAAGGCUACAGCUCAACUGUAGUAUGCUCUGGAAACUGUCAAGCUAGAGUGCAGAAGAGGGCAAUGGAACUCCAUGUGUAGCGGUAAAAUGCGUAGAUAUAUGGAAGAACACCGGUGGCGAAGGCGGUUGCCUGGUCUGAAACUGACGCUGAAGUACGAAAGCGUGGGGAGCAAAUAGGAUUAGAUACCCUAGUAGUCCACGCCGUAAACGAUGAGAACUAGGUGUUGGGGGAAUAACUCAGUGCCGCAG